RNAcentral lists this ribosomal RNA (508 nucleotides) under Ceramius richardsi. RNAcentral's name for it is "partial 16S ribosomal RNA". The stretch from base 382 to 508 matches the Rfam family "Bacterial large subunit ribosomal RNA", at positions 2473 to 2600 of the family's 2925-position model. The record is from RNAcentral. Lineage: Eukaryota; Metazoa; Arthropoda; Insecta; Hymenoptera; Vespidae.
CGCUUAUAGAUAUUAAUUAUAAGUAGGUUCUGCCCACUGAUGUAAAUUAAAGGGCUGCAGUAUAUUAACUGUGCAAAGGUAGCAUAAUCAUUUGUUUUUUAAUUGAAAACUGGAAUGAAAGAAUUGACAAAAUUUUAAUUGUCUCAAUUAAAACUAUUGAAUUUAAAUAUUAAGUAAAAAUGCUUAAAUAUUUUUAAAAGACGAGAAGACCCUAUAGAAUUUUAUAAUAUUAUUUAUACAGUAUUUUAUUAAAUAUAGAUAUGGUAUAUUUAUUUUUAUUUUGUUGGGAGGACAGUUUAAUUAAAUUAACUUAAAUUUUAUAAGACAUAGAUAAAUGAAAAAUUGAUUAUUAUUAUAAUUAAAAGAGAAAAUUACCUUAGGGAUAACAGCGUAAUAUUUUUGGAGAGAUCAUAUUGAUAAAAAUGGUUGCGACCUCGAUGUUGAAUUAAGAUAUAGUUUAGUUGUAGGUGAUUAAAUUGUUAGUCUGUUCGACUAUUAAAAUCUUACA